Pelodiscus sinensis (Chinese soft-shelled turtle) is the source of this 342-nucleotide non-coding RNA. The record is from RefSeq and is a predicted model, not a curated record. NCBI's taxonomy places the organism in Eukaryota, Metazoa, Chordata, Testudines, Trionychidae.
CUGGAGGUUUUUCGCCUUCCUCUGCAGCAUGGGGCACAGAUCACAGCUGGAGGAGUCUCUGCAUCCUGGGGCCUUCACAGUAUUUGAAGGGUUCAAUAUCUGAGCUCUAGGUCAGCGAUGCUCCAUGUGAGACAAACACUGGCCAGGAGUGGCCCAGCUCAGAAGUGGGUAAUGAUUUUUUGAUAGGGGAGCCACUCCGAGAAUUUGGCAGCAGAACACCCAUGUCUGUCUCCAGCUCAGCCCCUGGCCUGCAGAACAAGGGACCGGAAAUGGCUGUGGUGGGGCUAGUGACCUUCGAGGAGGUGGCUGUGUACUUCUCUGAGGAGGAAUGGGCUCUGCUGA